CCAGACUCCUACGGGAGGCAGCAGUGAGGAAUAUUGGUCAAUGGACGAGAGUCUGAACCAGCCAAGUAGCGUGAAGGAUGACUGCCCUAUGGGUUGUAAACUUCUUUUAUAAAGGAAUAAAACGAGGCACGUGUGCCUUUUUGCAUGUACUUUAUGAAUAAGCAUCGGCUAACUCCGUGCCAGCAGCCGCGGUAAUACGGAGGAUGCGAGCGUUAUCCGGAUUUAUUGGGUUUAAAGGGUGCGUAGGUGGUUAAUUAAGUCAGCGGUGAAAGUUUGUGGCUCAACCAUAAAAUUGCCGUUGAAACUGGUUGACUUGAGUAUAUUUGAGGUAGGCGGAAUGCGUGGUGUAGCGGUGAAAUGCAUAGAUAUCACGCAGAACUCCGAUUGCGAAGGCAGCAUACCGGCGCUCAACUGACGCUGAAGCACGAAGGCGUGGGUAUCGAACAGGAUUAGAUACCCUUGUAC
Molecule: ribosomal RNA, 465 nt
Filed under: uncultured bacterium
Lineage: Bacteria
Description: bacterial SSU rRNA
Rfam family: Bacterial small subunit ribosomal RNA
Source: RNAcentral